CUAUGUUCUAUUUUUAGCCAUGGCGGCCAUCUUGGUUGGUUGGCCAGGUCAUCGGACACAUUUUUUAAACUAGAUACCCCAAUGAUGAUUGUGGCCAAGUUUGGUUAAAUUUGGCCCAGUAGUUUCAGAGGAGAAGAUUUUUGUAAAAGUUAACGCAGGACGACGACGACGGACGACGACGGACGACGACGACGACGGACGCCGGACGCCAAGUGAUGAGAAAAGCUCACUUGGCCUUUCGGCCAGGUGAGCUAAAAAUG
RNAcentral lists this long non-coding RNA (260 nucleotides) under Mytilus galloprovincialis (Mediterranean mussel). Lineage: Eukaryota; Metazoa; Mollusca; Bivalvia; Mytilida; Mytilidae. The record is from RNAcentral.